RNAcentral lists this RNase P RNA (426 nucleotides) under Lachnospiraceae bacterium. RNAcentral describes it as "RNase P RNA component class A". It matches the Rfam family "Bacterial RNase P class A". Rfam says of the family: Ribonuclease P (RNase P) is a ubiquitous endoribonuclease, found in archaea, bacteria and eukarya as well as chloroplasts and mitochondria. Its best characterised activity is the generation of mature 5'-ends of tRNAs by cleaving the 5'-leader elements of precursor-tRNAs. Lineage: Bacteria; Bacillati; Bacillota; Clostridia; Lachnospirales; Lachnospiraceae. The record is from RNAcentral.
UAAGUAGGCUAAAUGACCGCGCCUGCGAAAGCAGGUGAGGAAAGUCCGGGCUUCACAGGGCAGGAUGCCGGAUAACGUCCGGUGGAGGCGACUCCAAGGCCAGUGCAACAGAAAUAAACCGCCAGGGCUUUAGAGCGGUGCUCGAAAGCCCGAAAGAAUCGGCGCAGCUGAUUUCUUUCAGCUCAAUGCAGUUUACUGCAUUGAGGUUGGUAAGGGUGGAAAGGCAGUGUAAGAGACUACCGUCCGUCUGGUAACAGACGGGGCUAUGUAAACCCCAUCCGAAGCAAGACCAAGCAGAGAACCAUAAGUCGGCCCGGCUUGUUCUCAGGUAGGUCGCUGGAGGCUGUUGGCAACAGCAGUCCAAGAUAGAUGGUCAUUGCCCUGCAUUGCAGGGAACAGAACCCGGCUUAUCGGCCUGCUUAUAAA